Molecule: ribosomal RNA, 513 nt
Filed under: uncultured bacterium
Lineage: Bacteria
Description: partial 16S ribosomal RNA
Rfam family: Bacterial small subunit ribosomal RNA
Source: RNAcentral
GACGAACGCUGGCGGCAUGCCUAAUACAUGCAAGUCGAGCGAACAGAUGAAGUGCUUGCACUUCUGACGUUAGCGGCGAACGGGUGAGUAACACGUAAGGAAUCUACCUAUAAGCGGGGGAUAACAUUCGGAAACGGGUGCUAAUACCGCAUAAUAUCUUCUUCCGCAUGGAAGAAGAUUGAAAGACGGCUCUGCUGUCACUUAUAGAUGACCUUGCGGUGCAUUAGUUAGUUGGUGGGGUAACGGCCUACCAAGACGAUGAUGCAUAGCCGACCUGAGAGGGUGAUCGGCCACAUUGGGACUGAGACACGGCCCAAACUCCUACGGGGGGCAGCAGUAGGGAAUCGUCCGCAAUGGGCGAAAGCCUGACGGAGCAAUGCCGCGUGAGUGAAGAAGGCCUUCGGGUUGUAAAACUCUGUUAUAAGAGAAGAACAAAUUGUAGAGUAACUGCUACAGUCUUGACGGUAUCUUAUCAGAAAGCCACGGCUAACUACGUGCCAGCCGCCGCCGUAA